This 358-nucleotide ribosomal RNA is filed under the name uncultured bacterium. RNAcentral's name for it is "bacterial SSU rRNA". It matches the Rfam family "Bacterial small subunit ribosomal RNA", at positions 32 to 361 of the family's 1533-position model. The record is from RNAcentral.
AAUCAACGCUGGCGGCGUGCCUCAGACAUGCAAGUCGAACGCGAAAUUUCCCUUCGGGGAGAAAGUAGAGUGGCGCACGGGUGAGUAACACGUAGGUAAUUUGCCUUUGGGUGGGGAAUAACUCAGGGAAACUUGAGCUAAUACCGCAUAAUGCAGCGGCUCGACAUCGAGACAGUUGUUAAAGCGGGGGAGUUGGAGCAAUCCGACCUCGCGCCUAAAGAGAAGCCUGCGGCAGAUUAGCUAGUUGGUAAGGUAAUAGGCUUACCAAGGCGACGAUCUGUAACCGGCCUGAGAGGGCGGUCGGUCACACUGACACUGACAUACGGGUCAGACUCCUACGGGAGGCAGCAGUCGGGAA